GCAGUCAAGAAUAUUAGUCAAUGCUCGAAAGAGUGAACUAGCUAACUGAAAUCAAUUAAAAUAAUUGAUAACAUAAGGGAAAAUAAUGAUAUUACCUUAUUAUUAGUGUCGUCAAAAUCUGGUGCCAGAAGACUCGGUAAGGCCUGAGACACAAACGUUAAUCAUCUUAAUCAGGCGUAAAGGGUUUGUAGGCGGCUUUUAAAUUAACUUAUUAAUAAAAAAAAAAUAAGUUAAGAAUAAAAGCUAGAAUCAAAUAGAGGAUAUAUCAAAUAAUGCUUAGAGUAGGUCUGAUAUCCUUAGAUACUAAGUAGAAUAUUAAAGGCGAAAGCUUUUUUCCAUUAAUGAUUGACGCUCAGAAACGAAGGUGAGGAUAGGAAAUAGGAUUAGAUACCCAAAAUACUCCUCUCUGUCAACGAUGAAUGGUAGUUAUUAGUAAUAAUUUAUUCAUGGCAAUGUUAACACGAUAACCAUUCCGCCUUGUGAGUACAACUGCAAAGUUGAAAACAAAAAAAU
This 513-nucleotide ribosomal RNA is filed under the name Russula sp. RNAcentral describes it as "partial small subunit ribosomal RNA". It matches the Rfam family "Bacterial small subunit ribosomal RNA", at positions 351 to 909 of the family's 1533-position model. Lineage: Eukaryota; Fungi; Basidiomycota; Agaricomycetes; Russulales; Russulaceae. The record is from RNAcentral.